This 253-nucleotide ribosomal RNA is filed under the name uncultured bacterium. Its description in RNAcentral is "partial 16S ribosomal RNA". It matches the Rfam family "Bacterial small subunit ribosomal RNA", at positions 524 to 776 of the family's 1533-position model. The record is from RNAcentral.
UACGUAGGGUGCGAGCGUUAAUCGGAAUUAUUGGGCGUAAAGAGCUCGUAGGUGGUUGGUCACGUCUGCUGUGGAAACGCAACGCUUAACGUUGCGCGUGCAGUGGGUACGGGCUGACUAGAGUGCAGUAGGGGAGUCUGGAAUUCCUGGUGUAGCGGUGGAAUGCGCAGAUAUCAGGAGGAACACCGGUGGCGAAGGCGGGACUCUGGGCUGUAACUGACACUGAGGAGCGAAAGCAUGGGGAGCGAACAGG